This 163-nucleotide ribosomal RNA is filed under the name Opuntia auberi. RNAcentral's name for it is "5.8S ribosomal RNA". It matches the Rfam family "5.8S ribosomal RNA". Rfam says of the family: 5.8S ribosomal RNA (5.8S rRNA) is a component of the large subunit of the eukaryotic ribosome. It is transcribed by RNA polymerase I as part of the 45S precursor that also contains 18S and 28S rRNA. Lineage: Eukaryota; Viridiplantae; Streptophyta; Magnoliopsida; Caryophyllales; Cactaceae. The record is from RNAcentral.
AACGACUCUCGGCAACGGAUAUCUCGGCUCUCGCAUCGAUGAAGAACGUAGCGAAAAUGCGAUACUUGGUGUGAAUUGCAGAAUCCCGUGAACCAUCGAGUCUUUGAACGCAAGUUGCGCCCGAAGCCUUCCGGCCGAGGGCACGUCUGCCUGGGCGUCACGC